This 349-nucleotide ribosomal RNA is filed under the name uncultured bacterium. RNAcentral's name for it is "bacterial SSU rRNA". It matches the Rfam family "Bacterial small subunit ribosomal RNA", at positions 917 to 1267 of the family's 1533-position model. The record is from RNAcentral.
GGACCCGCACAAGCGGUGGAGCAUGUGGUUUAAUUCGAUGCAACGCGAAAAACCUUACCUAUACUUGACAUACUUGGAAUGCUUUGUAAUGAAGCAGUGCCUUCGGGAGCCAGGAUACAGGUGCUGCAUGGCUGUCGUCAGCUCGUGUCGUGAGAUGUUCCGUUAAGUCGGAUAACGAGCGCAACCCUUACCCUUAUUUGCCAGCGAUUCGGUCGGGAACUAUAAGGGGACUGCCGGUGAUAAACCGGAGGAAGGUGAGGACGACGUCAAGUCAUCAUGGCCCUUACGUAUAGGGCUACACACGUGCUACAAUGGGGAAUACAGACGGACGCUAAGCCGCGAGGUGGUG